AGAAUCAACGCUGGCGGCGUGCCUAACACAUGCAAGUCGAACGAGAAAGUGGAGCAAUCCAUGAGUAAAGUGGCGCACGGGUGAGUAACACGUGACUAACCUACCCUGGAGUGGGGGAUAACUGAGGGAAACCUUAGCUAAUACCGCAUAAUACCUACGGGUCAAAGGAGCAAUUCGCUUCAGGAGGGGGUCGCGGCCGAUUAGUUAGUUGGCGGGGUAAUGGCCCACCAAGACAGUGAUCGGUAUC
RNAcentral lists this ribosomal RNA (247 nucleotides) under uncultured bacterium. Its description in RNAcentral is "partial small subunit ribosomal RNA". It matches the Rfam family "Bacterial small subunit ribosomal RNA", at positions 26 to 287 of the family's 1533-position model. The record is from RNAcentral.